UACGUAGGAGGCGAGCGUUGUCCGGAGUUACUGGGCGUAAAGGGUGCGCAGGCGGUGGCCCGCGUGGGCGGUGAAAGCUCCUGGCUCAACUGGGAGAGGGCCGUCCAGACGGGGUCACUUGAGAGGCGGAGAGGGAAGCGGAAUUCCAGGUGUAGCGGUGAAAUGCGUAGAUAUCUGGAGGAACAUCAGUGGCGAAGGCGGGUCUCUGGGCCGUUACUGACGCUGAGGAGCGAAAGCGUGGGGAGCGAACAGG
Molecule: ribosomal RNA, 253 nt
Filed under: uncultured bacterium
Lineage: Bacteria
Description: partial 16S ribosomal RNA
Rfam family: Bacterial small subunit ribosomal RNA
Source: RNAcentral